Molecule: ribosomal RNA, 445 nt
Filed under: uncultured bacterium
Lineage: Bacteria
Description: partial 16S ribosomal RNA
Rfam family: Bacterial small subunit ribosomal RNA
Source: RNAcentral
CCUACGGGAGGCAGCAGUGGGGGAUAUUGGACAAUGGGGGGGAACCCUGAUCCAGCGACGCCGCGUGAGUGAAGAAGUAUUUCGGUAUGUAAAGCUCUGUCAGCAGGGAAGAAAGCAAUGACGGUACCUGACCAAGAAGCCCCGGCUAACUACGUGCCAGCAGCCGCGGUAAUACGUGGGGGGCAAGCGUUAUCCGGAAUUACUGGGUGUAAAGGGAGCGUAGACGGCUGUGCAACUCUGGAGUGAAAGGCGGAGGGCCCAACCCCCGGACUGCUCUGGAAACUGGAUGGCUGGAGUGCGGGAGAGGUAAGCGGAAUUCCUGGUGUAGCGGUGAAAUGCGUAGAUAUUAGGAGGAACACCAGUGGCGAAGGCGGCUUACUGGACUGUAACUGACGUUGAGGCUCGAAAGCGUGGGGAGCAAACAGGAUUAGAUACCCGUGUAGUC